UGACUGAACGAUCGCAAUUGGUGGAAAU
This 28-nucleotide non-coding RNA is filed under the name Bombyx mori (domestic silkworm). The record is from RNAcentral. Lineage: Eukaryota; Metazoa; Arthropoda; Insecta; Lepidoptera; Bombycidae.